RNAcentral lists this unclassified non-coding RNA (402 nucleotides) under Hevea brasiliensis (rubber tree). Lineage: Eukaryota; Viridiplantae; Streptophyta; Magnoliopsida; Malpighiales; Euphorbiaceae. The record is from RNAcentral.
AUUAGAGUUGAUUUCCUUCCCUUUUUCCACAAAAAACCUAACAUUAGGGUUUCUAAUCUUCCCACAGCAGUCUCAUUAGUCAUUUGUCUUUUCCAUUGCAACUUUAUUCUUGGCAGCAUCCUUUUUGAAAUCAUGCCUCAAAAACUUCCACUUCCUUCCUUGUCCCCCAAGAUACCCCUUGUAACAAAUCAAGCCUUUUCUCCGGUUGUGCCAUCUUAAUAAGCAUCCUGACCAACAACUACUGAUUUAGUCUGGGAUUGCGACUCAAAAGAACCAAAUUGCAGAUAAAGCCCGCCUAGUUGUCAAGCUUUGACACCAAAUGUUAGGUAGGAACCCUAACAUUAGUUAUUCGAUGAAAGAAAUUAGGAGAAAUUAGUAGAACAGAAGAGAUACAAGUAUAGA